UGUUAAAAAAAUCAUCCAUUCUUAUUGUUAAAAAUUGGUGUGACUGUUAGAACAACCAAACAAUUACACGUACCUUAUGGUGUACAUAGAUCGAUUUUUAAUAGUAAAAAUGGAUGAAAUUUUCAUCA
Non-coding RNA from Gossypium hirsutum (cotton), 128 nucleotides. The record is from Rfam. Lineage: Eukaryota; Viridiplantae; Streptophyta; Magnoliopsida; Malvales; Malvaceae.